Molecule: small RNA, 364 nt
Filed under: Drosophila ananassae
Lineage: Eukaryota; Metazoa; Arthropoda; Insecta; Diptera; Drosophilidae
Description: GF27964
Source: RNAcentral
UUUAAAUUUAUUUUUCAACAGAGUCCUGGGUGCUUUUGUUUGCCGAAUAUAACUGAGCCCUAAUUGAGUUUCUUUAUGGAUUUUAAAGCUCCAGCACCUUAAUUUGGGACUAAAGCCACCUGAUUUGCUUGUUUUUAUUUUUAUCUUCCCUCCGAGUUCUGAUUUCUUUAUUCCCUAUCUUUCGUGGCGCUUUUGAGCUCUUUCUCCUUGCGCUCUAACGUCGGAAUUCUUCCCUGGCCAUCUCCUGACCAAAGGUGGACCUUAUUAUUUUUAAUUCUGAGGCACUCUAACGACGAAAUUCUUCCCUGACCAUCUUCUGACUAAAUGUGGACUUUAUUAUUUGUUUAUUUUACUCAAAACUGCG